CAUCGUUCCUCCGGCAUAUCGGUUCGCGCAACCGAACAACCGUGAGCGAGUAACCCGAACCGCAGUAACCCCGGCAUCAUGUCCGGAAAACUGAAACAUAAAUUGGGGUAGUGAUUUGUAGGGCGCGGCAACGCGCAUCGAACAUCAUAGACCCC
This 155-nucleotide non-coding RNA is filed under the name unclassified sequences. Its description in RNAcentral is "RT-3 RNA". It matches the Rfam family "RT-3 RNA". The record is from Rfam by way of RNAcentral.